AUUUUAUUCGUGAUCUUCACUACCUAGGCCUAAAUUAUAGCGUGCUCUAGCUCAUUUCCUGAGCUCCAGAACCUCUCUAUUGCAAUUUUCUUUUUACAUAGUAAUCGUAGUUAUUCUUCUCCUUAAAUUUUCCUAUUUGUUUUUUACCCGUCUCAUCGAAUCUAAGCUUUUUACUGUAACAUUAAAAAAAAGAAAAAAGUCUCCUUCCCUGCCCACCUUCAUCAAUGAUGUCCCCAAACUUACCUAUUAAAACCUCAAAAUCAGUCUUUCCCCAGGUCGGCCUUUGGAUAACUCAGAGGUCAGUCCCUGUAGGAUUGCCCAGUUUCCAUCAGGGCAAAUGCUGAUCUCCUAAGUGAAAAGUCCUGGCCGCUGCCUCCAGUGGCCCCCUGCAAAUCAUUACAAAUCAACCUCUUUCAGGUCUGGCUUAAACUCUCACCUCCUGGAAACUGCUUUCCUGAAGUCACAAACCGGGCAUGCAGAUCCCCAUCCCCCACCCCCAGCAGUGCAUUAUUAUGCAGUCACUGCUUUUGUUCCGAGUUCUGAGCCUGCUUCUAUUUGCAUCGUAACCGCUUUGGGGGCCGGGACUGUGCACUUGCUCCCUUUCUAUACCUCUCCACAGUUCCUAGUACCGGCCAAAAACACUGCUGAAAUGCCUAAUGAAUCAACCAGAAGUUCCUUAGCAUAAUAUAGUGGCGUGGAAGUGAUGUUUAGGGGGGCUUCCCUUGCUUCCCUGAUCCCCAGAUGGAGAGAAAUGGCAAUUUGCCCUUCCAAGCUUACAGGAACUUGGGAGGAGAUAAGAAAAAAGAAGAGAAGAGGAGAGGAGGCAAACACUCAUUGGGCGUUGUAUUCGUCUGUUUUCACGCUGCUGAUAAAGACAUACCCAAGACUGGGUAAUUUAUAAAAGAGGUUUAAUGGACUCACAGUUCCAUGUGGCUGGGAAGGCCUCACAAUCAUGGCAGAACGUGAAAGGCACGUCUUACAUGGCAGCAGGCAAGUAGAGAAUACGAACCAAGCACAAGGGGUGUCCCCUUAUAAAACCAUCAGAUCUUGUGAGACUUAUUCACUAC
Molecule: long non-coding RNA, 1067 nt
Filed under: Pongo abelii (Sumatran orangutan)
Lineage: Eukaryota; Metazoa; Chordata; Mammalia; Primates; Hominidae
Description: lncRNA (ENSPPYG00000041442.1)
Source: RNAcentral